UACGAAGGGGGCUAGCGUUGUUCGGAAUUACUGGGCGUAAAGCGCACGUAGGCGGAUUGUUAAGUGAGGGGUGAUAUCCCAGGGCUCAACCCUGGAACUGCCUUUAAUACUGUCAGUCUAGAGAUCGAGAGAGGUGAGUGGAAUUCCGAGUGUAGAGAUGAAAUUCGUAGAUAUUCGGAGGAACACCAGUGGCGAAGGCGGCUCACUGGCUCGAUACUGACGCUGAGGUGCGAAAGCGUGGGGAGCAAACAGG
Molecule: unclassified non-coding RNA, 253 nt
Filed under: uncultured Alphaproteobacteria bacterium
Lineage: Bacteria; Pseudomonadati; Pseudomonadota; Alphaproteobacteria
Description: contains 16S-23S intergenic spacer region
Rfam family: Bacterial small subunit ribosomal RNA
Source: RNAcentral